This 873-nucleotide long non-coding RNA is filed under the name Apteryx owenii (little spotted kiwi). RNAcentral's name for it is "lncRNA (ENSAOWG00000010060.1)". The record is from RNAcentral. Lineage: Eukaryota; Metazoa; Chordata; Aves; Apterygiformes; Apterygidae.
AAAAUGCUCUGCUGAAGAGGGAUGAAACAGAGCUGUGUUUACCUGCAUUUGGAAUCCAUGGAUGCUCCCUACAGAAAGGCAGAAUGCCUGGCUGGAAUUCCGAGAGGGAUUAUUGCAAUAAUGACACUUUGCACCAACCAGAGCCUUUAUCAAGGAAUUACAGAGUGUUUGUCUGAAGGGUGAAAGGACUCCUGUCCCUAGUCUGGACUCACUGAUUCUGAGAGGCACAAACUCUGUACAUCUCCAGGAGAUUUUGGCUCUUUUGUACUGCUGCUGAAAAGAACUGUUCAUCUAGCUCAUGGCUUUUGAAGGGAGAGUCCUUUCAGCAAACUUUAGGAGGGAACAGCUGCUCAUAGUGAAAACAAGACUGUCCUGCUGAUCCAAGCUGAAAUGUGACAUGGAAGUGGGAUUUUUGACCUUGAAAGAUGCGUCCGUUGUGACGAAGUUGAUAUUAAAGACUAUCGAGCGGGAAAAGAGUUUGGGAAGCGGUGAGGUGAACGUGGACUUCCAGAAACCCAGGAGGCUUGCAGGGACAGGUCAGACAAUCCUUAGAAGCAAAGGAAGCAAGCACACGACAAAAGGAAAUUUUCCUUGUACCUAAUUGUAAGCUCUGCUUAGAUUUGCUGGCAGGGUAACCUGUCUCUCUCCUUCAGCUGCAGAGGGAGCUUGAGGAGGCUACCUGCUUAAACUUGGUACCUAAAUGCCACAACGUGAAUAUUUCAUAGGGUUACUAACUUUGGCGUGAUUGGAGACUUUGAUGGUAAAGAUGCCUUGAUUGUUCAUGGUAUGAAUUUGUCUCCCCAUGAUGCAACAGCUUCAAGAGGAAGAGAAAAUAACUAGAAUAAAGUAAUACUUCCAUGUUGGUGAUGGUCA